GACGAACGCUGGCGGCGUGCUUAACACAUGCAAGUCGAACGGAAAGGCCCUGCUUUUGUGGGGUGCUCGAGUGGCGAACGGGUGAGUAACACGUAAGUAACCUGCCCUUGACUUUGGGAUAACUUCAGGAAACUGGGGCUAAUACCGGAUAGGAGCUCCUGCUGCAGGGUGGGGGUUGGAAAGUUUCGGCGGUUGGGGAUGGACUCGCGGCUUAUCAGCUUGUUGGUGGGGUAGUGGCUUACCAAGGCUUUGACGGGUAGCCGGCCUGAGAGGGUGACCGGCGACAUUGGGACUGAGAUAGGGCGCAGACUCCUACGGGAGGCAGCAGGGGGGAAUCUUGUACAAUGGGCGGAAGCGUGAUGAAGAAACGCCGCGGUCGGGAUGACGGCCUUCGGGUUGUAAACCGCUUUCGCCUGUGACGAAGCGUGAGUGACGGUAAUGGGUAAAGAAGCACCGGCUAACUACGUG
Molecule: ribosomal RNA, 468 nt
Filed under: uncultured bacterium
Lineage: Bacteria
Description: partial 16S ribosomal RNA
Rfam family: Bacterial small subunit ribosomal RNA
Source: RNAcentral